Molecule: ribosomal RNA, 250 nt
Filed under: uncultured prokaryote
Description: partial 16S ribosomal RNA
Rfam family: Bacterial small subunit ribosomal RNA
Source: RNAcentral
UACGUAGGGAGCGAGCGUUAUCCGAAUUUAUUGGGUGUAAAGCGUGUGUAGGCGGUUUAAUAAGUCUAAGGUUUAAGUCCGAAGCUUAACUUCGGUGCGCUUUAGAAACUGUUUUACUUGAACGCGGUAGAGGCAAGUGGAAUUUCUAGUGUAGCGGUAAAAUGCUUAGAUAUUAGAAGGAACACCAGUGGCGAAGGCGACUUGCUGGGCCGUGAUUGACGCUGAGACACGAAAGCGUGGGGAGCAAAUA